Molecule: ribosomal RNA, 499 nt
Filed under: uncultured bacterium
Lineage: Bacteria
Description: partial 16S ribosomal RNA
Rfam family: Bacterial small subunit ribosomal RNA
Source: RNAcentral
GACGAACGCUGGCGGCGUGCUUAACACAUGCAAGUCGAACGGGCCUGUCUUCUUUUUUGGGGGUGGGUUGAGUGGCGAACGGGUGAGUAUCACGUGAGUAACCUGCCCUUCGGUCCUGGAUAACCGCUUGAAAGGGCGGCUAAUACGGGGUGGUCCGGUUGGUCCGCAUGGGCUGGUCGGGAUAGAUUCACUGUUUUUGGUGUUUCGGCGGGGGAUGGGCUCGCGGCCUAUCAGCUUGUUGGUGGGGUGAUGGCCUACCAAGGCGGUGACGGGUAGCCGGGCUGGGGGGGGGGGGCGGCACAAGGGGACUGGGAUACGGGCCAGACUCCUGCGGGAGGGAGCAGUGGGGGGUAUUGCACAAUGGGCGGAAGCCUGAUGCAGCGACGUCGCGUGAGGGAUGGAGGCCUUCGGGUUGUGAACCUCUGUUUCCGGUGGUGAAGGCCCUGUCCGUGUGGUGGGGUUGACGGUAGCCGGGGAUGAAGCGCCGGCUAACUACGUG